Molecule: unclassified non-coding RNA, 2003 nt
Filed under: Pectinophora gossypiella (pink bollworm)
Lineage: Eukaryota; Metazoa; Arthropoda; Insecta; Lepidoptera; Gelechiidae
Description: cLK4-associating serine/arginine rich protein
Source: RNAcentral
GCAAUAAACUCGGUGUCAAUCAAAGACAAAAAACAAGUUUAAAAAGAUGGCGUCGAGUACGUGCUUAUCUUUUUUCGUAUUUCUUUAAUUGCGAAUUUUAUGUAAUUACGUGUGUUGCUUUAUGUCAAUGUGUUGAAUGAAUCCAUAUCAAAAUGUGGCACGAAGCAAGAAAACAGGAGCGAAUGAUUCGCGGUAUGAUUGUAGACUAUCGACGGAGGGCGGAACGCCGUAAGGAUUUCUAUGAGAAAAUUAAAGCUGAGCCCACUCAGUUUUUGCAAUUACACGGUCGGCCAUGCAAAAUUCACUUGGAUCCUACGGUCGCAGCUGCGGGAGAGGGUCCAGCUAUCAUGAUGCCUUGGCAAGGAGACACAAACAAUAUGAUAGACAGGUUUGAUGUCCGCGCACAUUUGGAUUAUAUUCCAGACGUGAGAAACCCUGAUGUUCCACCUGAUAAAUUAAGCCCUGAAGAGAGACAAUGCAACUAUGAACGAUACAGGAUUAUAGCACAGAAUGCCUUUCUAGGGAUAAGUGAAGACAAAUUCCUCCAGCAACUGGCCAUAGAGGAGCAGUUUGGUGUCACUAUAGAAGAGAAGGAGAUGCAAAAAGAGAGGUUGCACGAAAAAAAAGGCACUGGCGCCGCUAUAGGAUACAAUUAUAACGAUCCAGGGGCACAACCAUCCUGCUCUAACGGCCCGGAAAGUAAAAAAGUGGAGACCAAAGAUUCGGAUGAUGAUUCGGAUCUUGAAAUCAUUGAUGUGGACUUGAGCAUUGACGUAAAUAAGAUGGAGGCUUCACAGGCGCACGAGCUGAACGCGGUGGGCCCAGCGUUCGGCAUGGCCGGUUGCGACCUGUUCUCGUUCCUCACGGGCGACGCUGACGACGCCGAGCACCAGAAGCAACUGCUGCGAGAGGAGAAAGAGAAGGCAAUGUUCUCUGGAAGAAAGAGUCGGAGGGAAAGGCGCGCGCAUCGGGACAAGAAGCUAGCGUGCCGCGUGGUGAGCCCGCCGAGCUACGCGGCGCCGGCGCCGGGCGCGGGGGCGGGGGCGGGCGCGCGCUCGCCCAGCCGCUCGCGCAGCCGCAGCCCUUCGCCCGCGCCCGGGAACAUCCAGUUCAUCACCUCCUUCGGCGGCGACGACGAGGAGGUCAAGCCACCUCCACUGCCAAAAAUAUCAUAUGCAGAAAAAGUGAAACAGAAUUUAAAGAAGACAGAAUUAUAUUCAGAAAUAGUUCGCAGACAAACUAAAAGGCCAAGAGCUCCAUCAGAGGACAAAUACCCCCGCCCUCUAAUAGGGCCUCGCCGCGAGUCGCGAUCCAGGUCAUAUUCCCGAUCCAAAUCACGCUCGAGAUCCAAGUCACAGCCUAGGUCACGCUCGAGGUCAUUCCGGAGGUCACAUUCGAAGUCCCGGUCGUAUUCCCGGUCACGCUCUGCCUCGUCAAGGUCACGCUCGCGGUCCUACAGCCCUUAUAAGCGAAACUAUAGGAACAGGCGAUCUGCCAGUCCAAAUAAUACUAGUGCGAAGCGUAAAUCCAGGUCGAUGUCUUAUGAAAGCAACGACAGAAGCAAGCCGGCGGUGCCGCGCUACUACGGGCGCCGCAAGGAGGACAAGUCUUCCAGCGAACUGUCCCUGGAUUCCGAUUCCAGUGACUCCGCCGAUGACGCGAAAAACAAAUCGGCGGUUGCCAAUAAACCCAACACAAACCAGAAUCAGUUACGAUUGUCUGGAUCCAGCUCCAAAGUCAGGUCGGCCUUCCAAGGAAACCAUAUCGCUCAAGGAGAAACUCAAAAGAAAAAUGCAAGCCCAGUUAUCAAGGCAACUGCGUGCAGACAAGCGGGCUGAAGCGGAGCGGUUGGAACGCGAGAGUCGCAGGCAGGCGCGCCGUGACGAGGAGAUGCGGGAGUUAGCCAUCAAGCUGCGACGCAAACAGCGAGAGAUGCGACACCAGCAGACUAGGCGGUCGAGUGAUGACGACUCUGACAGGAGUCGCAGCGGGUCUUCCUCCAG